GACGAAGAUACAGACGGAGCAGUAAUCGUUUUUUUCGGUACCACUUUCGUUUUCACCCUUUUGCAAGCCCCUCUCGUUUUCUGUAAUAUGCUUGCGUUGGUUAACCCCUUGAACGGGCGAAAUGAGCGAACUGUCAAACGAGUUGUCAACAACUUUGCAUGUUUACAUAAUAUUGAACGAUUCUGCUGCUUGAAACACAGAAAAUCAAGGUGGCCGGGGUAGAAUCCUGGAACACCGGGAAAAAGAACCUCCGGAGAGCUUCGAUACGGCUACGGGGGGAACGACUGAAAUUUUCGAUCCAGAUAAUAUUGCGGCAUUCUUGGAGAAAGUGAAGCAGGAUGGCUGGGAGCGUAUCUGAUCUGAUCAUGUGCGACGGAGAGUUCGCAAAGAACUGUGACUGGCAUCAUCUCGAAGCUGCUGUAGUUGUUUGGUGCUGCUGGCAGUGGCGGUGAACCGACCAGAAAACGCUGUUGUGAAGUGUUUGAUCUGUACACACCGUUAGUGUCGACCAGUGGAACCAAUUGUGCAAUUCAUAAGCAUGCGCAUAAGCACCGUGCAGGAGAACGGUGUGUGGCGGAGAAGAAUGAACCACGAGCUCGCUGCACUUUAUGGCGAACCCAGCAUCCAGAAGGUAGCCAAAGCCGGAAGGAGACGGUGGGCAGGGCAUGUUGCAAGAAUGCCGGACAACAACCCUGCAAAGUUGGUGUUUGCUAACCAUCCGGUUGGUACAAGAAGGCGUGGAGCGCAGAGAGCACGAUGGGCGGACCAGGUGGAGCGUGAUCUGGCGAGUGUUGGGCGUGACCGACGUUGGAGAGCUGCAGCUGCAAAUCGAGUAUUAUGGCGGCAAAUUGUUGAUUCAGUAUUAUCAUGAAUUUGAUGUUAACUAAAUAAAUGAAUGAAAGCAUGCGCAAAGUUAGA
Long non-coding RNA from Aedes albopictus (Asian tiger mosquito), 918 nucleotides. RefSeq lists it as uncharacterized. The record is from RefSeq and is a predicted model, not a curated record. The transcript has 3 exons. NCBI's taxonomy places the organism in Eukaryota, Metazoa, Arthropoda, Insecta, Diptera, Culicidae.